UUCAUACUUCCUCCGUCCCAAAUUACUUGUCCUAGAAAUUGAUAGAAAUGGAUGUAUCUAGAAUUAAAAAUACGUCUAGAUACAUUCAUUUCUAUGACAAGUAAUUCUAGAUGGAGGGAGUAUUAG
Triticum urartu is the source of this 126-nucleotide non-coding RNA. NCBI's taxonomy places the organism in Eukaryota, Viridiplantae, Streptophyta, Magnoliopsida, Poales, Poaceae. The record is from Rfam.